CCUACGGGGGGCAGCAGUGGGGAAUAUUGGACAAUGGGGGCAACCCUGAUCCAGCCAUGCCGCGUGUGUGAAGAAGGCCCUCGGGUUGUAAAGCACUUUCAGUGAGGAAGAACGCCUGGUGGUUAAUACCCAUCAGGAAAGACAUCACUCACAGAAGAAUCACCGGCUAACUCCGUGCCAGCAGCCGCGGUAAUACGGAGGGUGCGAGCGUUAAUCGGAAUUACUGGGCGUAAAGCGCGCGUAGGUGGCUUGAUAAGCCGGUUGUGAAAGCCCCGGGCUCAACCUGGGAACGGCAUCCGGAACUGUCAAGCUAGAGUGCAGGAGAGGAAGGUAGAAUUCCCGGUGUAGCGGUGAAAUGCGUAGAGAUCGGGAGGAAUACCAGUGGCGAAGGCGGCCUUCUGGACUGACACUGACACUGAGGUGCGAAAGCGUGGGUAGCAAACAGGAUUAGAUACCCGAGUAGUC
RNAcentral lists this ribosomal RNA (465 nucleotides) under Vreelandella stevensii. RNAcentral's name for it is "partial 16S ribosomal RNA". It matches the Rfam family "Bacterial small subunit ribosomal RNA", at positions 338 to 795 of the family's 1533-position model. The record is from RNAcentral. Lineage: Bacteria; Pseudomonadati; Pseudomonadota; Gammaproteobacteria; Oceanospirillales; Halomonadaceae.